UAUGUGAUCGUCUCUCGCAUAUCAAUAAGCGGAGGAAAAGAAACUAACAAGGAUUCCCCUAGUAACGGCGAGUGAAGCGGGAAGAGCUCAAAUUUGAAAUCUUAAAGGGUUUCCCUUUACGAAUUGUAGUUUAAAGAAGUGUUUUCUGUUGAGGUUUUGGUAAAAGUUCUUUGGAAUAGGACAUCAUAGAGGGUGAGAAUCCCGUAUUUGACCUCUACUUUCAACUUUGUGAUACACUUUCAAAGAGUCGGAUUGUUUGGGAAUGCAGUCCAAAAUGGGUGGUAAAUUUCAUCUAAAGCUAAAUAUUGGCGAGAGACCGAUAGCGAACAAGUACCGUGAGGGAAAGAUGAAAAGAACUUUGAAAAGAGAGUUAAACAGUACGUGAAAUUGUCAAAAGGGAGGCGUUUGACACCAGUGUUGUUUUUCUGAAAAUCAAUUAAAGAACUGUUUAUGCUAAGCUGUUUAGACUUUAUCAGCUAUCUGUUUAGUUUUGAGCUUUUCUUUAAUGCACUUUUCAGUUAACAAGUCAACAUCAAUUUCUUUUGCUGUAAAAAAGCUUGAGGAAGGUGGCUUGAGAUUCGUCUUAAGUGUUUAUAGCCUCUUGCCUAUGCAGUCGGAGAGAUUGAGGUCUGCAGCGUAGAUCCUUCGGGGCUAAAUGCAUUUGUGCUAAGUUAUAGCAUUUUAUAGACAACUUGUUGACUAUGAUUUGUCUUGUAGCUUACUCGCUUAUGUUAUUUUACCUACGCUUAGGAUGUUGAGUAGCGACAUACGCAC
RNAcentral lists this ribosomal RNA (774 nucleotides) under uncultured Neocallimastigales. RNAcentral describes it as "partial large subunit ribosomal RNA". It matches the Rfam family "Eukaryotic large subunit ribosomal RNA", at positions 24 to 649 of the family's 3401-position model. Lineage: Eukaryota; Fungi; Neocallimastigomycota; Neocallimastigomycetes; Neocallimastigales. The record is from RNAcentral.